Molecule: transfer RNA, 92 nt
Filed under: Microbacterium aerolatum
Lineage: Bacteria; Bacillati; Actinomycetota; Actinomycetes; Micrococcales; Microbacteriaceae
Description: tRNA-Arg
Source: RNAcentral
GUCGUUCGUGGCGGUACGGUUACCGCUGGCGGCAUUCGCCGUUGCGAGCGGCGUCAUGGUCGCGCUCGCCGUCCUGCCCGGUGCGGACGGCG